Molecule: ribosomal RNA, 576 nt
Filed under: uncultured eukaryote
Lineage: Eukaryota
Description: SSU rRNA
Rfam family: Eukaryotic small subunit ribosomal RNA
Source: RNAcentral
UAAAAACCCCGGCUUCGGAAGGGGUGUAUUUAUUAGAUACAAAACCAAUGCCCUUCGGGGCUCUUUGGUGAUUCAUGAUAACUAUACGAAUCGCACGGCCUUGCGCCGGCGAUGGUUCAUUCAAAUUUCUUCCCUAUCAACUUUCGAUGUUUGGGUAUUGGCCAAACAUGGUUGCAACGGGUAACGGAGGGUUAGGGCUCGACCCCGGAGAAGGAGCCUGAGAAACGGCUACUACAUCCAAGGAAGGCUGCAGGCGCGCAAAUUACCCAAUCCCGACUCGGGGAGGUAGUGACAAUAAAUACUGAUACAGGGCCCUUUCGGGCCUUGUAAUUGGAAUGAGUACAAUUUAAAUCCCUUAACGAGGAACAAUUGGAGGGCAAGUCUGGUGCCAGCAGCCGCGGUAAUUCCAGCUCCAACAGCGUAUAUUAAAGUUGUUGUGGUUAAAAAGCUCGUAGUUGAACCUUGGGCCUGGCUGGCCGGUCCGCCUCACCGCGUGCACUGGUCCGGCCGGGCCUUUCCCUCUGUGGAACCCCAUACCCUUCACUGGCGUGGCGGGGAAACAGGACAUUUACUUUG